Molecule: ribosomal RNA, 769 nt
Filed under: uncultured archaeon
Lineage: Archaea
Description: bacterial SSU rRNA
Rfam family: Archaeal small subunit ribosomal RNA
Source: RNAcentral
CUCAGUAACACGUGGACAAUCUGCCCUCAGGUGGGGGAUAAUCUCGGGAAACUGAGAAUAAUACCCCAUAGGCCCCGUAUGCUGGAACGCUUCGGGGUUCAAAGCUCCGGCGCCUGAGGAUGAGUCUGCGGCUCAUCAGGUUGUAGUGAGUGUAACGGACUCACUAGCCGACAACGAGUACGGGCCUUGGAAGAGGUUGCCCGGAGAUGGACUCUGAGACACGAGUCCAGGCCCUACGGGGCGCAGCAGGCGCGAAAACUUCGCAAUGUGGGAAACCACGACGAGGGAAUUCCGAGUGCUCAUGGAAUUCCAUGGGCUGUUUUUAUGCCUAAAAAGCAUGGAGAGUAAGGGCUGGGUAAGACGGGUGCCAGCCGCCGCGGUAAUACCCGCAGCUCGAGUGGUGAUCGGUUUUAUUGGGCCUAAAGCGUCCGUAGCCUGCUCAGUAAAUCCUUGGGUAAAUCGGGCAGCUUAACUGUCCGACUUCUGGGGAGACUGCUGAGCUUGGGACUGGGAGAGGUAGGAGGUACUCCGGGGGUAGAGGUGAAAUUCUGUAAUCCUUGGGGGACCCCCAGUGGCGAAGGCGUCCUACUUGAACGGGUCCGACGGUGAGGGACGAAGCCCUGGGGCACAAACCGGAUUAGAUACCCGGGUAGUCCAGGGUGUAAACGCUGCGGGCUUGGUGUUGGGGGUCCUACGUGGGCGUCCAGUGCCGGAGAGAAGUUGUUAAGCCCGCCGCCUGGGGAGUACGGUCGCAAGACUGAAACUAAAG